GUAUUUUUUAAAAUUGCAGUAUACUACUGUAUUUGCUGUAACGUUCUCAUUGGCGGCGUUCUAUUGAGGUCGUUUUAUUUCCCUCAUUUAUUAUAUUUGGAUUGACAACAUUUGCCCUACACCGUGUCUACAACGCCGCAACAGCUUGGGAUGGACUACACCGGAUGUGUUGCAUCGCUUAUAAUGAUUGGAAAGUCCUUCAUGUCAGACACAACAUGAGAGCUUGAAGUACAUCUGUAAGUCAGAAAUUUACCGGGGCAUUACUGUACUGUAAACAUCCACUGUAGAUUGUAUAUUUAAUGUGUUUUAUAUUGUCUUCUUUUGUCGAGUCGCGCUGCACCGUGCCACUCGUGUCCGAGGAAGACGCUGAAGCAGCGGGCAGCGUCGCGGCAUUUGCCCGGGGAUGAACCCGCGAGAGCGGAAGAGUUCCGGAGAACAUCCGAGCAGUGUGUCGAUGCAAUUUACGAGAGAUUAAGACCAGCAAGUAAGGCAACUGCAAUGAAGAAUCAAGAAAGACGAGCAUGCCAUCCACACUGAGACUGAUAGUUCAUGAGAAGACAUUUCUGUCAUUAACAAAGUGGAUGGUGAGCAAAGGUGGUGGUCACGUUUUGGACGUUUUGUCUUUUUCUCCAUUGUUUCUGUUGCCUAUAGAUUAUUUGUGAGGAUACAACAUAAUGGACUGCAAAACAUCCUAAGACAGCGGAAAUGGUGAAGCUGCACUGUUCCAGCAGUUUAAGACUGUAUUUUUAAGUGUUAUACAUGCAUUGUUUUAAAUAAA
Long non-coding RNA from Labeo rohita (rohu), 778 nucleotides. RefSeq lists it as uncharacterized. The transcript is spliced from 3 exons. NCBI's taxonomy places the organism in Eukaryota, Metazoa, Chordata, Actinopteri, Cypriniformes, Cyprinidae. The record is from RefSeq and is a predicted model, not a curated record.